Small nucleolar RNA from Lineus longissimus, 77 nucleotides. RefSeq annotates it as small nucleolar RNA SNORD34. The record is from RefSeq and is a predicted model, not a curated record. NCBI's taxonomy places the organism in Eukaryota, Metazoa, Nemertea, Pilidiophora, Heteronemertea, Lineidae. The transcript has a single exon.
UCUGUCGAUGAUGAUAUAAUUUUACCUACAUUGCUUGAUGUUAAAUCAGCUGAGAAUAAAACACAUCCUGAGACGGA